RNAcentral lists this transfer RNA (84 nucleotides) under Phycisphaerae bacterium. RNAcentral describes it as "tRNA-Leu". It matches the Rfam family "tRNA". From Rfam's summary of the family: Transfer RNA (tRNA) molecules are approximately 80 nucleotides in length. Their secondary structure includes four short double-helical elements and three loops (D, anti-codon, and T loops). Further hydrogen bonds mediate the characteristic L-shaped molecular structure. tRNAs have two regions of fundamental functional importance: the anti-codon, which is responsible for specific mRNA codon recognition, and the 3' end, to which the tRNAs corresponding amino acid is attached (by aminoacyl-tRNA synthetases). tRNAs cope with the degeneracy of the genetic code in two manners: having more than one tRNA (with a specific anti-codon) for a particular amino acid; and 'wobble' base-pairing, i.e. permitting non-standard base-pairing at the 3rd anti-codon position. Lineage: Bacteria; Pseudomonadati; Planctomycetota; Phycisphaerae. The record is from RNAcentral.
GGCCUCUUGGCGGAAUUGGCAGACGCGACGGAUUCAAAAUCCGUUGCCCGAAAGGGCGUAUCGGUUCGACUCCGAUAGAGGCCA